Helianthus annuus (common sunflower) is the source of this 1024-nucleotide long non-coding RNA. RefSeq lists it as uncharacterized. The record is from RefSeq and is a predicted model, not a curated record. The transcript is spliced from 2 exons. NCBI's taxonomy places the organism in Eukaryota, Viridiplantae, Streptophyta, Magnoliopsida, Asterales, Asteraceae.
CAACAAACCCACAAUACACACAUAUAACCCUCUGCCUUACCCUCUCUCUCUCUCUCUCCAUAACAUACACAAACAAACAAUAUACACAAACACCUUACCCCUUUCCCCUCUCCACUCGUUUGUGAAUCAGCCGACAACACCCACCCCCCCCCCACUUCUCUUCUCUGAUCUCCCCCUAAAUCGGCGACCGAAUGGAGGAGGCGCCGCCGCUCACGGCAGCGGUGGUGGCACACGGUGGCUGAAGCAGAUCGAAGAAAUAUGAGAGAGAGAGGGAGAAGGGAGGAGAGGAGAGAGAGAGAGGAGAACCGGUAGAUGGCGACGAACCGCCGUGUGCGGCGAAGCCGCGGCGGCGCUGAUGGUGGUUGAUUGACGACGGAGCCACGGUGGUGGUUGCACGAUGUUCUGUUGACGUGAAGACAUAGAGGUGAUGACGGCUGACCGGCGUUCGAACCGCCACACACGGCGGAAUGGCGGUGGUCCUCUCAGUCCGACAAGUUCACGAUAGAGUUGAUUGGUGUUGCUGUUGAUGAUGAUUCGGCGGUGGUGGUGGUGGUCGACGACUGCUCGGGGCGGUCGGAGCCACACCGACACCGGAGACACCAGGUGGUGGUGAUGAUUAUGGCAGUCUGAAUUUUUGUUCAGAUUUGAUGCAAGAUCGGGUGCACAUUGGGUCGGUUGGAUCUCGGUCAGGCACGGGUGGUUCGGUUCAGUCAAGUCGGGUCACGGUCCACUAGGUCAGAUUUGGCAUCGGUCUCAAGGCGUGGUACGAGUCAACUCAGAUGCGUUUCGGGUCAAACCCGGUUGACUCGGUCAACACCCGAGUCAACUCGGGUCAACAAAAGUCAACAGAAGUCAAGGAUGGUCAACUCAAAGACCAGGUAAAGAUUUAAACGCGCGAAAGUUUUGUUUAUAUUGUUCGACACUUUAUAGUUACGCGAACCGAGCUCGAACCAUCGUUAUACGUUUAAUGAUUUAUUUAUGUUUAGUCAUUUUAACAAAACUAUAUAUUGUCAAUUACAAAGCA